GUGUUUGCUUCUACAGCACAUACGCUAAAAAAAAUUGGAAUGAUACAGAGAUUAGCGUGGUCCCAGCAUAAGGAUAACACGCAGAUUUACCGAGCAUUCCAUAUAAAA
Small nuclear RNA from Cercocebus atys (sooty mangabey), 108 nucleotides. The record is from Ensembl. Lineage: Eukaryota; Metazoa; Chordata; Mammalia; Primates; Cercopithecidae.